CGCCUCUUGCACAAAUNGUAUAAGAGGUCCCGCCUGCCCUGUGACUAUGUUUAACGGCCGCGGUAUUUUGACCGUGCAAAGGUAGCGCAAUCACUUGUCUUUUAAAUGAAGACCUGUAUGAAUGGCAUAACGAGGGCUAAACUGUCUCCUUCCUUAAGUCAAUGAAAUUGAUCUCCCCGUGCAGAAGCGGGGAUAUAAACAUAAGACGAGAAGACCCUAUGGAGCUUUAGAUUAAAGUUGAAUUGCAUUAAAACUCUUAAUUAAAAGCACUAAUUAAGCAAAGCUCUACUUAAUAUCUUUGGUUGGGGCAACCACGGGGAAAAACUUAACCCCCGAGAGGAAUGGGACUACAAGCCUUAAAACAGAGAAUGUCAAUUCCAAGUAUCAAAACACUUUGACCUUAAUGAUCCGGCACCACCGAUCAACGAACCGAGUUACCCUAGGGAUAACAGCGCAAUCCUCUUUAAGAGUCCAUAUCGACAAGAGGGUUUACGACCUCGAUGUUGGAUCAGGACAUCCUAAUGGUGCAGCCGCUAUUAAGGGUUCGUUUGUUCAACGAUUAAAGUCCU
RNAcentral lists this ribosomal RNA (569 nucleotides) under Micrognathus andersonii. Its description in RNAcentral is "partial 16S ribosomal RNA". It matches the Rfam family "Bacterial large subunit ribosomal RNA", at positions 1816 to 2597 of the family's 2925-position model. The record is from RNAcentral. Lineage: Eukaryota; Metazoa; Chordata; Actinopteri; Syngnathiformes; Syngnathidae.